UGGGGAAUAUUGCACAAUGGGGGAAACCCUGAUGCAGCGACGCCGCGUGAACGAAGAAGGUAUUCGUAUCGUAAAGUUCUGUCCUAUGGGAAGAUAAUGACAGUACCAUAGAAGAAAGCUCCGGCUAAAUACGUGCCAGCAGCCGCGGUAAUACGUAUGGAGCGAGCGUUGUCCGGAAUUAUUGGGCGUAAAGGGUACGCAGGCGGUUUAAUAAGUCGAAUGUUAAAGAUCGGGGCUCAACCCCGCAAAGCAUUGGAAACUGAUAAACUUGAGUAGUGGAGAGGAAAGUGGAAUUCCUAGUGUAGUGGUGAAAUACGUAGAUAUUAGGAGGAAUAACAGUAGAGAAGGCGACUUUCUGGACACAAACUGACGCUGAGGUACGAAAGCGUGGGGAGCAAACAGG
This 403-nucleotide ribosomal RNA is filed under the name bacterium. Its description in RNAcentral is "partial 16S ribosomal RNA". It matches the Rfam family "Bacterial small subunit ribosomal RNA", at positions 355 to 776 of the family's 1533-position model. The record is from RNAcentral.